This is a non-coding RNA of Pangasius djambal, 72 nucleotides long. The record is from the annotation of a GenBank genome assembly. Lineage: Eukaryota; Metazoa; Chordata; Actinopteri; Siluriformes; Pangasiidae.
UCCCUGGAGGGCUAGUAGUUAGGCCUUGGCGCUCUCAUUGCCAUGUUCCAGGUUUGAUUCCUGGCCAGGGAA